RNAcentral lists this ribosomal RNA (408 nucleotides) under uncultured bacterium. Its description in RNAcentral is "partial 16S ribosomal RNA". It matches the Rfam family "Bacterial small subunit ribosomal RNA", at positions 28 to 526 of the family's 1533-position model. The record is from RNAcentral.
GAUGAACGCUGGCGGCGUGCCUAACACAUGCAAGUCGAACGGGAGGGCGGACGGGUGAGUAACACGUGGGCAACCUGGCUCAUAGAGGGGGAUAACAGAGAGAAAUUUCUGCUAAUACCGCAUACUAUGAGGUGGACCCGCGUCUGAUUAGCCAGUUGGCAGGGUAAGAGCCUACCAAAGGGACGAUCAGUAGCCGAUCUGAGAGGAUGAACGGCCACAUUGGGACUGGGACACGGCCCAAAGUCAUACGGGAGGCAGCAAUGGGGGAUAUUGCAAAGUGGGGGGGACCCUGAUGGGGCGACGCAGCGUGAGUGAAGAAGUAUUUCGAUAUGUAAAGCUCUAUCAGCAGGAAAGCAGUAACUGAAUAAGAAGCCCAGGCUAACUACGUGCCAGCAGCCGCAGUAAUAC